Molecule: ribosomal RNA, 254 nt
Filed under: uncultured bacterium
Lineage: Bacteria
Description: partial 16S ribosomal RNA
Rfam family: Bacterial small subunit ribosomal RNA
Source: RNAcentral
UCUCUGAUGGCGAGUGGCGAACGGGUGAGUAACAUAUCGGAACGUGCCUAGUAAUGGGGGACAACAUGGUGAAAACCAUGCUAAUACCGCAUACGCCCUACGGGGGAAAGCGGGGGAUCUUCGGACCUCGCGCUAAUAGAUGAGCCUGCGUUAGAUUAGCUUGUUGGUGGGGUAAAGGCCUACCAAGGCGACGAUCUAUAGCUGUUCUGAGAGGAAGAUCAGCCACACUGGGACUGAGACACGGCCCAGACUCC